Molecule: ribosomal RNA, 443 nt
Filed under: uncultured bacterium
Lineage: Bacteria
Description: bacterial SSU rRNA
Rfam family: Bacterial small subunit ribosomal RNA
Source: RNAcentral
GAAUUCGAUUCAGGCCUAACACAUGCAAGUCGAAAGGCAGCACGGGUGCUUGCACCUGGUGGCGAGUGGCGAACGGGUGAGUAAUACAUCGGAACGUACCUUAUCGUGGGGGAUAACGCAGCGAAAGCUGUGCUAAUACCGCAUACGCCCUGAGGGGGAAAGCGGGGGAUCGCAAGACCUCGCGCGAUUAGAGCGGCCGAUGCCUGAUUAGCUAGUUGGUGGGGUAAAAGCCCACCAAGGCGACGAUCAGUAGCUGGUCUGAGAGGACGAUCAGCCACACUGGGAUGGAGACACGGCCCAGACUCCUACGGGAGGCAGCAGUGGGGAAUUUUGGACAAUGGGGGCAACCCUGAUCCAGCAAGGCCGCGUGAGUGAAGAAGGCCUUCGGGUUGAAAUCUAUUGGUCAGGGAAGAAACACCGGCUCUACACAGUCCGGGAAUGAC